This 481-nucleotide ribosomal RNA is filed under the name Borreliella burgdorferi (Lyme disease spirochete). RNAcentral's name for it is "bacterial SSU rRNA". It matches the Rfam family "Bacterial small subunit ribosomal RNA", at positions 52 to 527 of the family's 1533-position model. Lineage: Bacteria; Pseudomonadati; Spirochaetota; Spirochaetia; Spirochaetales; Borreliaceae. The record is from RNAcentral.
AGCAUGCAAGUCAAACGGGAUGUAGCAAUACAUCUAGUGGCGAACGGGUGAGUAACGCGUGGAUGAUCUACCUACGAGAUGGGGAUAACUAUUAGAAAUAGUAGCUAAUACCGAAUAAAGUCAAUUAAUUUGUUAAUUGAUGAAAGGAAGCCUUUAAAGCUUCGCUUGUAGAUGAGUCUGCGUCUUAUUAGUUAGUUGGUAGGGUAAAUGCCUACCAAGGCGAUGAUAAGUAACCGGCCUGAGAGGGUGAACGGUCACACUGGAACUGAGAUACGGUCCAGACUCCUACGGGAGGCAGCAGCUAAGAAUCUUCCGCAAUGGGCGAAAGCCUGACGGAGCGACACUGCGUGAAUGAAGAAGGUCGAAAGAUUGUAAAAUUCUUUUAUAAAUGAGGAAUAAGCUUUGUAGGAAAUGACGAAGUGAUGACGUUAGUUUAUGAAUAAGCCCCGGCUAAUUACGUGCCAGCAGCCGCGGUAAUACG